GACGAACGCUGGCGGCGUGCCUAACACAUGCAAGUCGAACGAAGUAAGUUGCUUCACCAAGUGUUGAAUAGCUACCCCCAAGCGCAUUUGCCAAAGGGUAAGCAAAAAGUACUAUCAAUUAAAUAAAAUGGUGAAACAAAAGAAUAGCGAAGAAGAAGCAAAUGCGCUUCACGCUAAUUCCAAGUACCAACACAAAACAAAUUCAAUGUUUGGUGAAGCAACUUGCUUAGUGGCGGACGGGUGAGUAACGCGUGAACAAUCUGCCCCGUACAAAGGGAUAGCCUCGGGAAACCGGGAUUAAAACCAUAUAACACUUAACUGCCGCAUGGUAGUGAAGUCAAAUCGAUUAAGAGGUAUGGGAUGAGUUCGCGUCUGAUUAGCUAGUUGGUGAGGUAAGGGCUCACCAAGGCGACGAUCAGUAGCCGGCCUGAGAGGGUGAACGGCCACACUGGAACUGAGACACGGUCCAGACUCCUACGGGAGGCAGCAGUGGGGAAUAUUGCACAAUGGA
RNAcentral lists this ribosomal RNA (511 nucleotides) under uncultured bacterium. RNAcentral describes it as "bacterial SSU rRNA". It matches the Rfam family "Bacterial small subunit ribosomal RNA", at positions 28 to 375 of the family's 1533-position model. The record is from RNAcentral.